CCUACGGGGGGCUGCAGUGGGGAAUAUUGGACAAUGGGUGAAAGCCUGAUCCAGCCAUGCCGCGUGUGUGAAGAAGGCCUUCGGGUUGUAAAGCACUUUCAGUGGGGAAGAAAGCCUUGGGGCUAAUACCCUCGAGGAAGGACAUCACCCACAGAAGAAGCACCGGCUAACUCCGUGCCAGCAGCCGCGGUAAUACGGAGGGUGCGAGCGUAAUCGGAAUUACUGGGCGUAAAGCGCGCGUAGGCGGUCUGAUAAGCCGGUUGUGAAAGCCCCGGGCGCACCCUGGGAACGGCAUCCGGAAGUGAAGGCGGAAGUGCGAGGGGAGGAGGGGGAAUUCCCCGUGGAGGCGGGAAAUGGGGUAGUGACGGGAAGGACAACGAGGGGCGAGGGAGGCCUCUGGGAAUGAACCGCCCGUUGUGGUCCCAAAGCUGGGGAACCAACCGGGUUAACUCCCCUUGGAGUC
This 463-nucleotide ribosomal RNA is filed under the name Vreelandella stevensii. RNAcentral describes it as "partial 16S ribosomal RNA". It matches the Rfam family "Bacterial small subunit ribosomal RNA", at positions 338 to 795 of the family's 1533-position model. The record is from RNAcentral. Lineage: Bacteria; Pseudomonadati; Pseudomonadota; Gammaproteobacteria; Oceanospirillales; Halomonadaceae.